RNAcentral lists this long non-coding RNA (382 nucleotides) under Salvia miltiorrhiza (redroot sage). RNAcentral's name for it is "long non-coding RNA (SMIL_LNC014433)". The record is from RNAcentral. Lineage: Eukaryota; Viridiplantae; Streptophyta; Magnoliopsida; Lamiales; Lamiaceae.
GUUACUUGCAGAGCACGUUGCCAGCUGGACUUUCCUUUGAUUUCACGAUGCUUAUCUUUAAGAGUCCAGUUUUGCAAGGCGAUUUUGAUGGUAAUUAGAGUUGGAAUGAAGUCUAUAAAUAGGGUCUUAAUAUUCAUUGUAAUAAUCACUCUUUUGCCCUAAUAUUUCGUUUAACCUUGGAGAAUCAUCCUGCGAGCGCUGCAACCAAAGACUUAGGCUUUUCCUGUUUUCAUUGCUUUUGUAGUUUUCGAGUCUUGUUUAUUUCGACUUCAAGUUUAAUUCUGUUUAGUUUUCUUUUCGAAGUUGUAAUCAAGUGAUAGUGGUUGCACCUUCGAGACGUUUUAUGGUAUUCCGUAUUUAUUUUAAUUUAUUUGCUUUGCUA